This is a non-coding RNA of Acanthosepion pharaonis, 76 nucleotides long. NCBI's taxonomy places the organism in Eukaryota, Metazoa, Mollusca, Cephalopoda, Sepiida, Sepiidae. The record is from the annotation of a GenBank genome assembly.
GUUCCCAUACGAUCACCGAAGUUAAGCAACGUGUAGCCUGGUCAGUACUUAGGUGGGUGACUGCUUGGGAAUACCU